GCCCGUCUCCACACCACAGACACCCUUUCUAUUGUGCUUCUGUCUUCUUGCGGAAUAAGUGUAAAUGUCUUCUUGCGGAAUAAGUAUUGCUCCUCUGUACCAAGAAGUUGGUGAAACCAGCUGCAGAGUUAUUCACAGAGAUGAUGCUCAGAAACAGACUAGAAUGAGCAUCACCCUGGGUAUCACUUUGGGAUGCAAUGUGAAAGACCACAAUCACCCUCUCUUCUGGAUCCCCCGCAUCUGAUUAUGGGGAGAGAUGCAGGUUCUGAAAGAAGAAAAUCAGUUGUGUUGGAAAAGAAACGGGAGGAAAUGAAUGCUGAGUCAUCACUUAGUCAGAGGAAGGACUCACAAAUGGUCCUGGCUGUGGGCAGUGAUGUUGGUCAUCACUGGAGGAUGAGGAGGGGUGUGGGUUUUUAUUCUUGGGGGACCAGGCCAUCUCUCAUGUAUAGACUAGCCCUGCAUGAAAAGGACACUUCUGGCUUUGGUCUUCUUAUGCUGUGUUUUUCCCAAUCCAGUGAGAAAUUGCCCUCAGAAUCAGGAGUCCCAGUGACCCUAGGGAGGGGUGGGUAGAUGUUUACCUUUUAUCCCUCUUUGCACUUCCUGCCCAGUUAUUUUGGGCUGCUUUCUAAUUGGCAACGGGCUGUCUGAAAUCCUACCCACACCUGGCACAGGAGCUGGGGUGAUGGAACACGUAUGCCCCUGCACAGCACCCACUGGUAACAUAGGGGAGAACUUACGGGGAAACAAUGGAAGAGCUCAGAGAUAUUGUCUUUACUUGUUAAAGCCAAAAGAAGGUGAUUCCAUCUCCCUGGGACCUGCUUUUGCUAACACUCAACUCUCAAGGACUCAGACAUUGACUACAAAAUGCCAAACCAUUUUAAAGAGCUAAAAGUUUAUGUAACCAUCUGGAAAUUCAUCACCCUCCAAUUAAAAAAAAAAUGUUUAUUCUUGAGACAGAGAGUGCAGGGGAGGGGCGGGGGGGGGACAGAGGAUCCGAGGCGGGCUCCGUGCUGACAGCAGAGAGCCCCAUGUGGGGCUGGAACUCAUGAACUGUGAGAUCAUGACCUGAGCCAAAGUUGGACACCCCACCAACGGAGCCACCCAGGCUCCCCACCUCUCAAAAUUUUAAAUCAGUGAUACAACAUGCAGCCUACACACAACUAUAAUGUAUUUGGCUGUCGUGGACGUUGUCGUUGCUCUAAUCAAAUCCCUUCCGUGGACUGUGUUACAGGUUUGUGCGCCAACCCCAAGCUCUUGUGUGUUUCAUUCCUAAUGGGCUGAGUUCCCAGCAUUCUUCAAAGAACUGAACCAACCCCUGGAGCCACUCUGCCCAGACUUGGGGACAGCCUGAAGUGCCUGUGGCCAAAGACUACCGAGGCAGCAGUCUGAAAGCCCUUUGCCUUGAGGUUGGACAAACUCAAGUGUGAUCAGUCCAGAUCAGGCCAAGGCCAAGACUGUAUACUUGGCUCCUUCCCCUUUCUGCUUUCCACUCCCCCCGCCCCACUAUCUUACUGGUCUCCCCAGAGAUGACUUCCUUUAUAAGAUGCUUACUUGUGUAUUACCAUCUUAGGAAAACACUUUUGGAGAACCCAAUCCCAUGCUAAGAUACCUGUCCCAUGCUAGGCACAGUGGGAAGAGAAGAAGACCCCUUUCUUCAGGGCAACUCUCCUUGGAGGGACGACCCAUACACAAAGCAAUUAAGAAAAAUAUUUCUUAGACAGAAACAAGUGCUGAAAAUAUUGUGGCCCACUUAUGCCUCAUCUAUAUUACUGAAUGCCUGUGAUGGUGCAUGCACAGAGCAAUGUUAAAAUGUCAUGGAAAGGACAAGGGACUAGGGAGAGGGCAGAUAAGGAAAACCACUUCCUGAAGGGGUGGCUUUGGAAGCAUGGGUAGAACUUGCAGUGUUAGGUGUAAUGUUGGUAAUAAUAUCGAACACGGACCGCGUUCAUUUCUCUUUUGAUCUAGAACUCUGCUCAGAAGCAGGUUCAGGAGCUCAGGGAGAGAAACUUCCCCAGGGACCUGCCUGCCCUUUUCACUGCUGCCUUAUUCAGGAUGGGAGCUGCCUCCCAGAGUUCUGCUUCUUGUGAAUUGUGUCCAGACCAGAGUCCACCCACUUCAAUGAUUCACUUCUCCCCCCAGAGUGUUGGGAUUUAAAUUCUCUUUGUGAGAUAAAGACAUGGUAUGAGACCUGUUGCCCAGGGAAGUGUGAAAAAUGCGUCCAGUGUUCAGUUUAUGAAGACAUAACCCACCUCACUUUCAAUUCCAUGAAUCUUGAUUGACUUCCUUGUUCAUUUAGCAAUCUUUAUUGAGCACCUACUAUGGGCCAGUCAGUGAACUGGUGGUAUGAUCCCCUCCCUAAGGACAAAAAAAAAAACACCUCAAGGCAACCUGGCUAUACGCGUGCGUGACAACAUCCCUCACGACCUUGUAACAUGAGACCACUUAAUCAGACUACAUGUUUUGUAUGUUACCAGGUAAGGGAAACAAAAAAAUAAAAAAUGUAUAAAAAGCUAUGCCA
Molecule: long non-coding RNA, 2518 nt
Filed under: Felis catus (domestic cat)
Lineage: Eukaryota; Metazoa; Chordata; Mammalia; Carnivora; Felidae
Description: lncRNA (ENSFCAG00000050527.1)
Source: RNAcentral